AUUGAACGCUGGCGGCAUGCCUUACACAUGCAAGUCGAACGGCAGCACGGGUGCUUGCACCUGGUGGCGAGUGGCGAACGGGUGAGUAAUACAUCGGAACAUGUCCUGUAGUGGGGGAUAGCCCGGCGAAAGCCGGAUUAAUACCGCAUACGAUCUACGGAUGAAAGCGGGGGACCUUCGGGCCUCGCGCUAUAGGGUUGGCCGAUGGCUGAUUAGCUAGUUGGUGGGGUAAAGGCCUACCAAGGCGACGAUCAGUAGCUGGUCUGAGAGGACGACCAGCCACACUGGAACUGAGCCACGGCCCAGACUCCUACGGGAGGCAGCAGUGGGGAAUUUUGGACAAUGGGCGAAAGCCUGAUCCAGCAAUGCCGCGUGUGUGAAGAAGGCCUUCGGGUUGUAAAGCACUUUUGUCCGGAAAGAAAUACUUGGCCCUAAUACGGUCGGGGGAUGACGGUACCGGAAGAAUAAGCACCGGCUAACUACGUG
Molecule: ribosomal RNA, 486 nt
Filed under: uncultured bacterium
Lineage: Bacteria
Description: partial 16S ribosomal RNA
Rfam family: Bacterial small subunit ribosomal RNA
Source: RNAcentral